UGUAAGCGUAUACCAAAGUUGUUGCAGUUAAAACGCUCGUAGUCGGAAUUUGGCAGUUCCGGAUGUGUGCACGUCGUGUGCGCACUUCGCGGGGAUUGCUUUUGUGGUCUGGCGUAGGAUGAGGCACUUUUAUUAGUGAACGUCCUCACGCAACCACUUUUUACUGUGAGAAAAUCAGAGUGCUCAAAGCAGGCAUUUGCCGUGAAUGUAUUAGCAUGGAAUAAUAGAAUAGGACUUGGUUCUAUUUUGUUGGUUUGUUGGGACUGAGUAAUGAUUAAGAGGGACAGUUGGGGGCAUUUGUAUUUCGGUGCUAGAGGUGAAAUUCUUAGAUUACCGAAAGACAAACUGCUGCGAAAGCGUCUGCCAAGGAUGUUUUCAUUGA
Molecule: ribosomal RNA, 382 nt
Filed under: uncultured eukaryote
Lineage: Eukaryota
Description: partial 18S ribosomal RNA
Rfam family: Eukaryotic small subunit ribosomal RNA
Source: RNAcentral